This 460-nucleotide ribosomal RNA is filed under the name uncultured bacterium. Its description in RNAcentral is "partial 16S ribosomal RNA". It matches the Rfam family "Bacterial small subunit ribosomal RNA", at positions 338 to 795 of the family's 1533-position model. The record is from RNAcentral.
CCUACGGGGGGCAGCAGUGAGGAAUAUUGGUCAAUGGGCGCGAGUCUGAACCAGCCAAGUAGCGUGAAGGAUGACUGCCCUACGGGUUGUAAACUUCUUUUAUAAAGGCAUAAAGUGAGGCCCGUGUGCCUUUUUGUAUUUACUUUAUGAAUAAGGAUCGGCUCACUCCGUGCCAGCAGCCGCGGUACUACGGAGGAUCCGAGCGUUAUCCGGAUUUAUUGGGUUUAAAGGGAGCGUAGAUGGGUUGUUAAGUCAGUUGUGAAAGUUUGCGGCUCAACCGUAAAAUUGCAAUUGAUACUGGCAGCCAUGAGUACAGUUGAGGUAGGCGGAAUUCGUGGUGUAGCGGUGAAAUGCUUAGAUAUCACGAAGAACUCCGAUUGCGAAGGCAGCUUACUAAACUGCCACUGACAUUGAUGCUCGAAAGUGUGGGUAUCAAACAGGAUUAGAUACCCGUGUAGUC